AGUUCUGAAGCUGUGUCUGAUUCACUGUGACAGCCCCUCUCUCAUGGGUCCCAUCAUCCCUCCCUGCAUCUCAUUUCUGUUGGGAAUUCCCAAAGCAGAAGGAGUUUCUUUGCUGCUUCCCUUUUCAGAAACUUGGAGACCAUAUAUCUUUGCAAAGUGGAUUUUUAAAAAUAAAGAAGAAAAGAUUAAAUCAGAGAAGCUCCCAAGUUUUCUGCCUUCUGCCUGGACCAGCUUCCUGUGCUUCUUCCUUUCCAAAAUUGAUGUGGUAAAUGUUAUUGCAGUAGCACUGGCUCAGAAAAGCCCAGGCCUUCCAAGAAUGUAACCUUCAUGGAGAAAUUCUGCGACUCUUUCUCCUCUUGGGAGGCUAGAGAGGUAAGACGUAGAAGGAGAGAGAGAAAAAGAGACACGGAGAAAUUUGCCUUGUUAGUGGCUUUCAGGAGAACAAGGCCAGAAGACACAGAGUCCCGGACCUUAUCCACCUAAACUAAGGGAACAGGUGUGGGCUGCCUAACUUGUCAUCUAGUUCCUAGGGGAAGAGAAGUGGCAAGUUCCAAGGCCACUUCCUUGGAACUGGAAGAGGAAGCAGAGAUGGGCCACCCUCCCUACCAGCAUGAAGAGAUGGAAUAUGAGUCAGAUGUAGUGGUUCCCACACUGGCAUGAUGAAAGCCUGGAGCUGUCUACGAGCAUACAGACCUUGGGGAAAGAGGAGGAAGUCAUAGUGUAGCGCAAAGCUGAACCUCAAGAGGGCAGGAAUGCUGAUGACAUCAUUUGAGUCUCUGGGUCCACUCCGCCCUGUUCUUCCCAGUUAUGUGAAUCAACCAAGUCCCUUUAUUCCUUCACCUAAUGUGAACUGACAAAUCUCAUUCAAUUUAUGGCAAGGGAGUGAGAUUUAAUAAUCUGGUUCUUAGAUUCUGGAAAUGAUUCUUAUUUAGUGCCAAUACUCCUGUAUAGGUGAAUACAUAUCUAUUUUUGAGAAAUCAAUACACAUUUGUAUGCCAAGGCCAAA
This 1006-nucleotide long non-coding RNA is filed under the name Homo sapiens (human). RNAcentral's name for it is "long intergenic non-protein coding RNA 2763". Lineage: Eukaryota; Metazoa; Chordata; Mammalia; Primates; Hominidae. The record is from RNAcentral.